GUAGGGUGCAAGCGUUAAUCGGAAUUACUGGGCGUAAAGCGUGCGCAGGCGGUUUUGUAAGUCUGUCGUGAAAGCCCCGGGCUCAACCUGGGAAUUGCGAUGGAGACUGCAAGGCUUGAAUCUGGCAGAGGGGGGUAGAUUCCACGUGUAGCAGUGAAAUGCGUAGAGAUGUGGAGGAACACCGAUGGCGAAGGCAGCCCCCUGGGUCAAGAUUGACGCUCAUGCACGAAAGCGUGGGGGGAGCAAACAGGAUUAGAUACCCUGGUAGUCCACGCCCUAAACGAUGUCUACUAGUUGUCGGGUUUUAAUUAACUUGGUAACGCAGCUAACGCGUGAAGUAGACCGCCUGGGGAGUACGGUCGCAAGAUUA
This 370-nucleotide ribosomal RNA is filed under the name uncultured organism. RNAcentral describes it as "partial 16S ribosomal RNA". It matches the Rfam family "Bacterial small subunit ribosomal RNA", at positions 527 to 896 of the family's 1533-position model. The record is from RNAcentral.